RNAcentral lists this ribosomal RNA (207 nucleotides) under uncultured Syntrophobacteraceae bacterium. RNAcentral describes it as "partial 16S ribosomal RNA". It matches the Rfam family "Bacterial small subunit ribosomal RNA", at positions 568 to 774 of the family's 1533-position model. The record is from RNAcentral. Lineage: Bacteria; Pseudomonadati; Thermodesulfobacteriota; Syntrophobacteria; Syntrophobacterales; Syntrophobacteraceae.
CACGUAGGCGGGAAUUUAAGUCAGAUGUGAAAGACCGGGGCUCAACCCCGGGGUUGCAUUUGAAACUGAAUUUCUUGAGGGCAGGAGAGGGAAGCAGAAUUCCUGGUGUAGCGGUGAAAUGCGUAGAAAUCAGGAGGAAUACCAGUGGCGAAGGCGGCUUUCUGGACUGACCCUGACGCUGAGGUGCGAAAGCGUGGGUAGCAAACA